Molecule: ribosomal RNA, 405 nt
Filed under: uncultured rumen bacterium
Lineage: Bacteria
Description: bacterial SSU rRNA
Rfam family: Bacterial small subunit ribosomal RNA
Source: RNAcentral
GUGGGGAAUAUUGCACAAUGGGGGAAACCCUGAUGCAGCGAUGCCGCGUGGAGGAAGAAGGUUUUCGGAUUGUAAACUCCUGUCUUAAAGGACGAUAAUGACGGUACUUUAGGAGGAAGCUCCGGCUAACUACGUGCCAGCAGCCGCGGUAAUACGUAGGGAGCGAGCGUUGUCCGGAAUUACUGGGUGUAAAGGGAGCGUAGGCGGGAUCGCAAGUCAGAUGUGAAAUGCAUGGGCUUAACCCAUGAGCUGCAUUUGAAACUGCGGUUCUUGAGUGAAGUAGAGGUAAGCGGAAUUCCUGGUGUAGCGGUGAAAUGCGUAGAUAUCAGGAGGAACACCGGUGGCGAAGGCGGCUUACUGGGCUUUUACUGACGCUGAGGCUCGAAAGCGUGGGGAGCAAACAGG